CAUGGUCUUAGCUUGCUAAGGCCGAUGGCGACCGGCGCACGNGGUGAGUAACACGUAUCCAACCUGCCGUCUACUCUUGGACAGCCUUCUGAAAGGAAGAUUAAUACAAGAUGGCAUCAUGAGUCCGCAUGUUCACAUGAUUAAAGGUAUUCCGGUAGACGAUGGGGAUGCGUUCCAUUAGAUAGUAGGCGGGGUAACGGCCCACCUAGUCUUCGAUGGAUAGGGGUUCUGAGAGGAAGGUCCCCCACAUUGGAACUGAGACACGGUCCAAACUCCUACGGGAGGCAGCAGUGAGGAAUAUUGGUCAAUGGGCGCAGGCCUGAACCAGCCAAGUAGCGUGAAGGAUGACUGCCCUAUGGGUUGUAAACUUCUUUUAUAAAGGAAUAAAGUCGGGUAUGUAUACCCGUUUGCAUGUACUUUAUGAAUAAGGAUCGGCUAACUCCGUGCCAGCAGCCGCGGUAAUACGGAGGAUCCGAGCGUUAUCCGGAUUUAUUGGGUUUAAAGGGAGCGUAGAUGGAUGUUUAAGUCAGUUGUGAAAGUUUGCGGCUCAACCGUAAAAUUGCAGUUGAUACUGGAUAUCUUGAGUGCAGUUGAGGCAGUCGGAAUUCGUGGUGUAGCGGUGAUAUGCUUAGAUAUCACGAAGAACUCCGAUUGCGAAGGCAGCCUG
This 667-nucleotide ribosomal RNA is filed under the name uncultured Bacteroidales bacterium. RNAcentral describes it as "bacterial SSU rRNA". It matches the Rfam family "Bacterial small subunit ribosomal RNA", at positions 70 to 728 of the family's 1533-position model. Lineage: Bacteria; Pseudomonadati; Bacteroidota; Bacteroidia; Bacteroidales. The record is from RNAcentral.